This 276-nucleotide long non-coding RNA is filed under the name Nicotiana benthamiana. RNAcentral describes it as "long non-coding RNA (NBEN_LNC033745)". Lineage: Eukaryota; Viridiplantae; Streptophyta; Magnoliopsida; Solanales; Solanaceae. The record is from RNAcentral.
GAUGAGAAGGUCUUGAGGAAAGCCGGAUCCUGAGUCAGAGAGACGCAUACUACUUUGAACAUGCUGGAAAAUGGCUGGAGAGGCCAUGGAUCUUCCAGAUCUGAGACAGAUCUAAAGGAGACCAUGGAAGUCAGGCCUCCAAACUGUGAAUAGCUUAAGUUAGUGAUGAUGGAGUGUGAGCAUAGGCCACCCAUGGCCAGGAUUGCCAUAGAUUCUGGUGAAGAUGAGACGGAGAUCGGUGGAAUAGAAUUAGGGUUUCUGAGGGCUAGAGAGGUU